AAUUGCGAUCAUACAAGCACUAAUGCAUCGGAUCCCAUUAGAACUCAGUAGUUAAGCUUGCUUGGGCGAGAGUAGUACAAGGAUGGGUGACAUCCUUGGAAGUACUCGUGUUGCACCUC
Molecule: ribosomal RNA, 119 nt
Filed under: Cajanus cajan (pigeon pea)
Lineage: Eukaryota; Viridiplantae; Streptophyta; Magnoliopsida; Fabales; Fabaceae
Source: RNAcentral